AUCCCAUGAUGAGGACACUUACGAAGUAACUCCUUGAAUCGCUCCCAAGCCCCAUACAAAGACUCAUCAUCCAAUUGUUGAAAAGUUAUGAUCUCGUUACUUAACUU
Molecule: small nucleolar RNA, 107 nt
Organism: Gossypium raimondii (Peruvian cotton)
Lineage: Eukaryota; Viridiplantae; Streptophyta; Magnoliopsida; Malvales; Malvaceae
Rfam family: Plant small nucleolar RNA R71
About the family: R71 is a member of the C/D box family of snoRNAs containing the C (UGAUGA) and D (CUGA) box motifs. Multiple nearly identical copies of this snoRNA have been identified in Arabidopsis, and it is thought to function as a 2'-O-ribose methylation guide for 18S ribosomal RNA.
Source: Rfam